AGAAUACAAUGACUAGUGUCUAACUAACAGGUGAGAGGGAGGAGUAUGUUCUCUGAGAUGUGGGUCUGAGAGUGUUCAUCUAGUUCAAGCUGUAGUGCUCUCUAUCUUCCAUAGUCCACCACAAUGUUCUUCCACGUUGGAAUACUGCUAACAGCCUUUAUAGGUUGCACCUUUGGAAAUCAAAUCACUUCAAACAGUGCUGAGGUCAACACAGUGUCGGGUUUAACCAUAAUCCUGUCCUGCAACUACUCCUCGUCUACCUAUCUACAAUGGUAUCGGAAGUACCCAAGAUCAGAGCCCCAGUUUCUCAUGAAUGUGUUUAGUUCUGAUGAGGCUCAGAACUCAAGCACUGACCCCCACUUAUCUGGGAUUCUGAACAAAGAGAGAAAUCAAAUCUUCCUGAACAUCAACUCUGCUAAACUCUCAGACUCUGCAGUGUACUACUGUGCCAUGCAGCCCACAGUGAACAAAACAGACUCACUGUCAUACAAAAACCACAGUCUCACAUUUCAGGAAGACAAUCUAUAUGUAUCAGCAGAAACCAAAUCAGACACAUGUCUGUAG
This is a non-coding RNA of Alosa sapidissima (American shad), 564 nucleotides long. The record is from the annotation of a RefSeq genome assembly. NCBI's taxonomy places the organism in Eukaryota, Metazoa, Chordata, Actinopteri, Clupeiformes, Clupeidae.